Mytilus trossulus (common blue mussel) is the source of this 7509-nucleotide RNA transcript. It is a transcript of the gene named rho family-interacting cell polarization regulator 2-like, with no coding region annotated. The record is from RefSeq and is a predicted model, not a curated record. NCBI's taxonomy places the organism in Eukaryota, Metazoa, Mollusca, Bivalvia, Mytilida, Mytilidae. The transcript is spliced from 25 exons.
CACAAACGUAUAAUAUACUGUGAAAAAUUGGGAAUAUUAUCGUUUACAUUUAAAAUAAUUGUAAAGUGAGAAAAUAUUUAUUGAAAAUGAUUUUGUGAAUUUAUGAGUCCUGUAUCAAUUUUGUGAAAUGAUGGAGCUUAAUAUUAAAGGAUAAUUCACAGUUGGCAUCUUUGAAAUUAUAAUUAAUAGACUUUUUCCAGGAGGAUAAUAGGGGGGAAAUUAUUUUAAUGUUAUAAGUAAUACUAAUAUUUGGUUUUAAGUGAGUGAUUUCGAGAGGUGACAAUAAUUAAUACAUCAUUACUUGAUCAAGUGAUUUUUGACACCUAAAGGUAAACGAACCUUUAACAAAGUGAGUACAUUUCUAAACAAAGACAUUCUUACCAGGGAUUUAAUUAUUUCAUUGAUAAAAGUAUCUGUUUACAUUGUGGAAUUUUAAUGUGACUGGAGACUGUAAGAGACUAAGAGUGCCUUUAAUGGGGAGAUGGAGUAUCUAUAGUAUUAAUACCAAAUAGGUGGAGAACAUUGAUAGCAUCAGACAUUUUUGGUGUGAGAAGUGGAUAUAAGUGUAAAAUUUGGAUAUAUAAGAUUUAAAAUUUCAGAAAUAAUUAUUUUUGAAGAUUGAGGAUUUUGAAAAAAAUUUAAACUCAGAAUUUGGUGUGAUUAAAAAAAAAAAGGAAUUUUAUUAGAUGUCAAAUAAUUGGAAAAAAUUGGAAAAUCAAAAUGCAGCGUUUGAGAGACGAGAGCAGGUUAACCGACUUACACCAUUCUCCCAGCAUGAAACAGAAUCGGUUAAGAAUAUUCAAAGGUGUAAAACGUUCUGUCACAUUCAAUUUAGGACAAAAUUUACCAGUCUCUGCUCCAAGAAGAGGAAGAAGUAUUGGCAUUACAAGACAUUCCAGUUUUCUUGGUGGAGGAUUUGGUCGAAAGGAUCCACUCUUCAUGACUCGUAAGGAUCCAUCCCAGAUUUAUCAUAAUGUUCCCUUGGAAAACCUUAAUGGACCCCACAGAGUGUCAUCUCAACCCGUAGUGGACCCCAACCAUCAUCAGAUUUUUGUUACCAGAAGUCAUUCAUUUGCUGGCAUGGCCAGUCGAUCUAGUCAGCUAAUGGAAUCUCCCUUAGGAACCCCUGUAUUAGGGGCUACAUAUAGGAGUAAGACACAACAUAAAGUUCCGCAUUCUCCGAGGCCAAGAUCUGGAGCCAAUUACAGAAAGUCACCAAAAGUACCAAAGAUUCCACGACCUAAUUGGACGACCUUGAUGUUUGAGAGCGUGAAAAAAGGAAUCAGGGAGUUUAUAGAAGCUACUAAAGACGAUAUAGACCAGUUAUGUGCCAGAGGUGUCGAGCAAGCAACGUCUACUGCUCAGGGUAAAUUAUUGGAAACAGAUAAGCAAAUUAAAGCAGCAGAGAGAUACCUUAAAAGAUUAGAGUUUCAUCUGUCCAAGAUUGAAGAAUUACAUGAUUGUUAUAUGGUACAACAACAACUAAGAGAAGGUACCAGAAAUUUACAGAAGGCUUAUACCACAUCACCAACGAGUCAAAAAGACACACUUAGUAAUGUUAAAUAUGGCAUGUUAGAAUGUAUACAGACAAUGUGUGCCAUAGAAGCUCAGUUAGAGGCUAUGAUGGGAACAUUCCAUUGCAGAAUUAAAGGUAUGGCAGGCUUUGCUAGGCUAUGUCCAGGAGACGUGUUUGAUAUUACUCUGCGACAUGGAUCACAGAAGUGGCGCUCACGUGGCAGAGUGGAAAAAACGGGAAACCAGAGAUGGGAGAACCCAGAAUAUACAUUUAAAUCUGUCAUUGGGGAUGGGCUUCAUAUAAAGGGAGUAGAAGUAAGAAGCUUUAAGUCUGUGAUAUUAGGACAAAAAACAUGUGAGACGAAGGAUUUGUUCUCUUGUAAUCCACAGUUAAUGACAGUCAGCAUCAAUACCAAUGGUUCUCUUAAACUCAGUGUAAUCAUCACAUGGAAUCCUUUAGAAGGUGUGGAGGAAGCAAUGUCAUAUUUCGAUGUCCCCAGCCGACCACAAUCUACUCCAAGGAAGAGACCCGUAUCUGUGUUGGCUCUGAAUGGAGAACUGAGUGGCAGUUACUCAAGUUUAUCAUCAGACGACAGCAGACGCCAUUCUACACCACCAAAUCUAACCACAACCAAAGACGAUAACUUUAUUUUACGUACGAGUGGCAAUCAUAGUAGUUUCUCAUCACCGUACCGUACAGUUCAUUCUGACAAUUCUUUUAACCUACAAAGAGACUCGGGAUUUUCUAGUGUUAUACAUGUACCUAGUGCUAAUUCACCUUUAGGAAUGAAACGCCAUGCGCCACCGUUACCUGUGAUGGAAAUUCCAGAGAUUACUACAAAUAACAAUAUUGACAUUGUGAAACCAAUGGCAGCGCCCUCUAUAUCACCCUUAGUGACAUCCUCGCCAGCAUCAUCAUUAUUAUCAUCGUGGUAUUCACAUUUACAUUUCCCAGUGGCAUUAGGUCACACUGUGACAUUGUCAAAAGAUGAACCAACCAAUGUAGAGGACGUGUUACACAGUCUAAUGACAACGUUAGAGGAUUACCAUGGACAGUAUAGGGAGUUAGAAAAACUGGAAGAUGUUGUUGUCAUGUUAGAACAAAUAUUACGAAAACAUUCAAGAUGCAGUUCCAGAUCUUCUAGUAUAAGUAUUUCUAUAGAAAGUGCUUUGGGUGCGUUUGAUUUUCUGAAUACAGAAGAAGAGAAUGGCGAUACAGAAAAUCAUCAUGAAGCUUCUGUAUUUGACCAUGUCAUGUCUAGUCCAGAUUCUACUGCCAAAACUGCUGACUCAGGGAUUGAGUCAUUAGCAAAACGCCUAAGUGAAGACACACAACUUGGAUCCAGUUUAGGUUCCAGUCCGUUGCCACCGACUACAGAGAAUGACCAAGUGGAUCAUGCCUUAGUGUAUCAUUUAGUUUAUUGUGAGAGAUUACUAGAGAGCCUUGGUGUUUAUGGUCCAUUAAAAUGCAGGGAAAUCUAUGCUUUAGAUAGACUACAGAAACAGGCAGAUAUAAUAGAUAGUUUGAUAAAGAUCUCAGAGAACGGCUCAGAUAUUGAUUUGUUGUCUGUGAUGUCCAGUUUAACUGAAGAUAAAAGUUUACGAGAGUUUUGGGCCAGGUGUACUGAUCAAAAUCUCCUGUAUAUACAGCCUGAAAAACUGGUUACCUGUUUAGAUCAAAAGUAUGGUGCUCAGCUACGUAGUAAAUACGAGAGAGACCCAAAGAGAGUGUUACGUCAUUUAGUAAUGAGGUUACUGGAUGUCCCAAAUUAUGACCCUGAAACUAUAAAGCCCACCUGUAUAGUAACGCUUCACCAGUUCAUGACCUAUUUUAAAGAGGAAGGUGGUCUACAACAUGUUGAUGCAGUAGCCAGUGAAAUUAACAUGAUUGAGAAGUUAUGUUGUGAGGAUUCAGAUACUGUGAUAAAAACAAUAUUACAAUUAAAAGAUGUACUUCCCCAACCACAAUGCAUCAAAAUACUUGGUGUACUUCUAAUGGGUAGUGACACAGAAAUAGCUGAUUAUAUAGGUACGUAUCUUGUACUACCCCAAUCACAAUGUAUCAAAAUACUUGGUGUACUUCUAAUGGGAAGUGACACAGAAAUAGCUGAUUAUAUAGAAUCCUAUUUAAGAAAAAUUAACAAGAACAAAGAAUCACGAGAUAAGGCUUUAGUUGUAUUUGCUGAAGGUUUAGAAGAUAAGACUUCUGAGAUCAGAGCAGGUUCUUGUAAAGCUCUACAGAUAUUAGAGGCUACAGAGAGUAUAGACAGAUUGGCCUAUAUUUGUCAGACUGAUAGGUCUACUACAGUCCAGGACCAAGCUAAGGCAGCCCUUACAUCAUUAGGUGACGAUGGGAGACAGGCUUUUGAUGAUACCCAACUUACAACCCAUGGAUUUCAAGGCAUUCAGGUUCAAAAGUAGCCCUACAUGCAUAGUUAACAAUAGCCAAAACUAUUGGUACACAACCCAUGGAUUUCAAGGCAUUCAGGUUCAAAAGUAGCUUUACAUACAUAGUUAACAAUAGCCAGAACUAUUGGUACACAACCCAUUGAUUUCAAGACAUUCAGGUUCAAAAGUAGCUUUACAUACAUAGUUAACAAUAGCCAGAACUAUUGGUACACAACCCAUUGAUUUCAAGACAUUCAGGUUCAAAAGUAGCUUUACAUACAUAGUUAACAAUUGCAGAAUUAGAGGUACACAACCCAUUGAUUUCAAGACAUUCAGGUUCAAAAGUAGCUUUACAUACAUAGUUAACAAUUGCAGAAUUAGAGGUACACAACCCAUUGAUUUCAAGACAUUCAGGUUCAAAAGUGGCUUUACAUACAUAGUUAACAAUUGCAGAAUUAGAGGUACACAACCCAUUGAUUUCAAGACAUUCAGGUUCAAAAGUAGCUUUACAUACAUAGUUAACAAUUGCAGAAUUAGAGGUACACAACCCAUUGAUUUCAAGACAUUCAGGUUCAAAAGUGGCUUUACAUACAUAGUUAACAAUUGCAGAAUUAGAGGUACACAACCCAUUGAUUUCAAGACAUUCAGGUUCAAAAGUAGCUUUACAUACAUAGUUAACAAUUGCAGAAUUAGAGGUACACAACCCAUGGAUUCAAGACAUUCAGGUUCAAAAGUAGCUCUACAGAUGUUGUAGGCAGUUACUUCAUGGAUAGAAUCCCUAAACUGACAGAAUUGAAUACUUCAAAGAAUGCAACCAUCUAUUUACAGAUUGAUUUACUGGAUUAUGUUAUUAUCAAAGUUGUGAACUAUGAGAUAUAAUUAUGUUUUAAAUAACACACAUAUUGUUUCAAAUUUGCAAUCUACAUAAAUGAAAUGAAUUCAAAAGUUGUUAAUUAUCAUAUAUACUUUAUAAGGCUUUCCUGGCCUUUAUGAUCAUAAAACUUUUUCUCUGUACUCAGAUCAGAAAAUUUGUGAAACGCCAAAUCUAGUAUAAAUUUGAUAGUUGAUUUCUGAGUUUGAGUAUGACAAUCUUACUUGAAAGUUUUAUGAAGGAUUCAUUUAUUGUUUUAAACCACUUCAUAAAAUGAUCAAGAAUUGAUAUUAAAUCAGUUUGAACUUUAGCUGCUUGUAUUGACAAGUACAAACAUUCAUUGGUAACAUUUAUAGAAUCACUCACCCAUGAGAUUACCAACACUCCAUUAAAAACUACCAUCUCAGAUUUUCACCAAAUUUUACCUCAUUUAAAAUCAUAGUUGUACUAAUUAACAACAGCUGUUUUCAUAUAAAAAAUAUUUAAGUUAUUAAAUUUUAUCGUAAGAUUUUUAUUGAAAAGGGUCACUGCUCUAUUCAUUUUCAACAUAGUAUUUAAGCUUUACCCUUCCAAAUAUUAGGAUUGCAAGUAGUAAAGCAUUAAUACUAUUUGUAAAACUUGUAUUUUUCGGCAGUUACUCAUUUUAACUUAAAAAAUGUUGAGUCAUAACUUUAAUAUGUUGAUCUGAUUAUUAAAAAUUGAACAAGCUAUUUGCAUAAUACCUCACUCACUGAAACUUUUGUAAUUGAAUAAGGUGCUUAAUAAAUACUCAUCAAAUUGUCAUUAACUUGCCAACAUUUUUGUAAUGAAAGACUUUGUAUGUUGUAGAGGUUUACUGAAACAGACCAGUAUAUUUAGAUUUUUUACCAAAACAGGCUCAUUUUCAUUUGAAUGUCAAAUAUUACUAAGUCCCAUCAACACCAUCCUUUAAUAAUUUGAAGGAAACUAGUGACUAUUUUUUUUGUGAUGAAACAUACAUCAGAGUUAUCUCUCCUUUAUAAAUAUAUACUAAUAUAUACCUUCAAGCUAUUUCUUAAAUUAAAAUUCUAAUUAUUAUGUAGCAUAUUUAGAAUUUUGGCAUUGUUUUCAUGUUUUAUAUGACUAUACCAAAUUGAUAGCAAGUGAGUUGCAAUGUAACAUGUAGUCAGGAGAAAACAUUCUGAAAAAUAAAAACUUUUUAAUUGUUUAAAAUACAUGAAUCUACAUUUCACAUUAAGCUAUAUCCUCAUGGGUAGUCAAGGCUGUUAAAACAACUCCCUCAUCAUCCAGCAACUAUCUCAAAGUCAUGUUAUUAAAACAACUCCCUCAUCAUCCAGCAACUAUCUCAAAGUCAUGUUGUUAAAACAACUCCCUCAUCAUCCAGCAACUAUCUCAAAGUCAUGUUGUUAAAACAACUCCCUCAUCAUCCAGCAACUAUCUCAAAGUCAUGUUGUUAAAACAACUCCCUCAUCAUUCAGCAACUUUUUCAAAGUCAUGUUAUUUAAACUUAUUCACCAGUAAGUUAUCUUCUUGCAAUGCAUGAUUUUGACAUAUACCCCAUGUAUCCUUUCAUUGGUGAGAGUUUGUGUUACGGCACCACACAUUUGCCUUUCAGAGUAUUUCUGUACUACUACAAGAAUCAUUUAAAAAAAUUAUGUUAUACACAAGUGAGGAGUAAAAUUAUGAUGUUGAGUUUCUGGAAAUCAAUCUACACAAGUGUUCACUACAAAAGAUGUUUGUUGAUAUUCAUUUUAUGUGCAAUAUAUAUUGAUUUUCAUGAUAUACUGUUGUAUAAACUUCACAAGUUUAAGAAACAUUUUAUUAUUGUUAUUUACAAACUUUAAAUUAGUUUUAGCAAAACAGAAUAAGUCAUUCAAGGAUUAUUGUUAGAAAGAACAGAGAAAAAUUCACAUUUCUCAGUUGAUAUUGUUAACUAUUAUAUAUUUUGUUUUAUUAUCUUGGAAAUUCAAAUAUAAUUAUUCUACACAGUAAAUUGCUGAUCGUAGUCUUGAAAUACUAUAAGGUGUAACUUUUAUGUACAUCAAAAGUUAAUAAAAAAAACAACCUAAUCAAAGACUUGAUGUACAAUUGAGAGUUGAAUGAUUGACCAGAGCCUAAAUCCUUUAUUUAGAUUAUAUCAUGAUGUUAAAUGAAGUUUUUAUUGUAGUUUUAUCUUUGGGUACAUAACUUCAGCAAAUGCUGCUGUAUUUUAUUAGUAAUUAUUCAUGUAAGGAAAAAUCUUUAAUUGACAAGGAUAUUGUUCCUGGUGGAUGCAUUUUCAAAAUUCAAUUAAAGAAAAUCAAAUUUGUAAUAAAAAAAACCCCCAUAGACACCAAAUUGACACUUUAGUCCUGGAGAACUUUGGAUGUACAUAGACCCCAAAUUGACACUUUAGUCCUUGAGAAAUUUGGAUGUACAUAAAGGGAUGUAUCUACUCGACACUGUAUUAAAUUAUUAGAUUCAUCUUUAUUUUGAAGUGCCUUCAGUUUUCAUAAGAAAUUUAUGCUUGUUUUUGGUCUAGUUCUUGGUCUAUUCCUUGUUUUUGUUAAAACCUGUUUAUGUAAAACAAAAUUUGUUGUAAAGCAAUUUGUUUUGAUGACUUGAUUGAGAUUAUGACAAAGUAAUUAAUUGUUAUUUUAUAAUUGAUUGAGAUUACGACACUGUAAUUAAUUGUAAUUUUAUAAUUGUAGUCUAGUCAAAUUGUUUAUAUAAAAGUUAUCUUAAUGGUUAUAUAUUAAAAUAUAUAUGAAAUGAAA